GGGGCUGUAGCUCAGCUGGCAGAGCGCUUGCAUGGCAUGCAAGAGGCCAGGGGUUCAAAUCCCCUCAGCUCCACCG
This 76-nucleotide transfer RNA is filed under the name Actinobacteria bacterium RBG_16_70_17. RNAcentral's name for it is "tRNA-Ala". It matches the Rfam family "tRNA". Rfam says of the family: Transfer RNA (tRNA) molecules are approximately 80 nucleotides in length. Their secondary structure includes four short double-helical elements and three loops (D, anti-codon, and T loops). Lineage: Bacteria; Bacillati; Actinomycetota. The record is from RNAcentral.